CCUACGGGUGGCAGCAGUGAGGAAUAUUGGUCAAUGGGCGAUAGCCUGAACCAGCCAAGUAGCGUGAAGGAUGACUGCUCUAUGGGUUGUAAACUUCGUUUAUAUGGGAAUAAAGUGCAGUAUGUAUACUGCUUUGCAUGUACCGUAUGAAUAAGGAUCGGCUAACUCCGUGCCAGCAGCCAGGGUAAUACGGAGGAUUCGAGCGUUAUCCGGAUUUGUUGGGGUUAAAGGGAGCGUAGGCGGGUGGGUAAGUCAGUUGUGAAAGUUUGCGGCUCAACCGUAAAAUUGCAGUUGAUACUGGCAUCCUUGAGUACAGUAGAGGUAGGCGGAAUUCGUGGUGUAGCGGUGAAAUGCUUAGAUAUCACGAAGAACUCCGAUUGCGAAGGCAGCCUGCUGGACUGUAACUGACGCUGAUGCUCGAAAGUGUGGGUAUCAAACAGGAUUAGAUACCCUGGUAGUC
This 460-nucleotide ribosomal RNA is filed under the name uncultured bacterium. Its description in RNAcentral is "partial 16S ribosomal RNA". It matches the Rfam family "Bacterial small subunit ribosomal RNA", at positions 338 to 795 of the family's 1533-position model. The record is from RNAcentral.